This is a non-coding RNA of Zootermopsis nevadensis, 73 nucleotides long. The record is from Rfam. NCBI's taxonomy places the organism in Eukaryota, Metazoa, Arthropoda, Insecta, Blattodea, Termopsidae.
GCCACGGUGGUCUAGCGGUUAGAACGCUGGCCUUGUAAUCCUGGGGUCUCGGGUUCGACUCCCGGCGGUGCCC